RNAcentral lists this long non-coding RNA (6801 nucleotides) under Brassica napus (rape). Its description in RNAcentral is "long non-coding RNA (BNAP_LNC013443)". Lineage: Eukaryota; Viridiplantae; Streptophyta; Magnoliopsida; Brassicales; Brassicaceae. The record is from RNAcentral.
AAACAAUCUGAUUGUUCUUAAACACACUCUAAUACACAAAAGUGUAUACAAAGUGAUUCAUCCUGUUUUGAUUAGAACGACGAAGAAGCUGUGCUAUUCCCAAACUGGGAAACUGGAAUCACCUGAUUUGAAAAUGGGAUAACUUCUUCAUGCCAACUCCUAUGAGAUUUAUUCAACUUCCUGGUGAUUCUCCACCACUUUAUGUAUCUAAGUCAAGCUUCUUACAUGAGGGAGGUCCCAUUUUAAAAAUCAAAAAACGUUUUAAAAACGUUUUAUUAAUUCCAAAAAAAACUAAAACAACAAUCCUAACUUAUAUAUCCUAAACUAUCGUGUGAGACUGGGUUCUCUUUCGCCAGUCCCUAUUUCCAAAGCUAAAGUGAGAGACAAAGCACCAGUCUCUGCGAUUGAUACACGUGUCAAUAGAGACCAGUCUCACUACACGUGGUAUCAUUUAGAUUGGAUGGAACCCACGUGAAGAUGGGACCCACUUACUACCCGCAUCUGACGCGCUUAUAUCUCGCCAGCUCGAAAAUAAUAUCUCGAUAUUUCUCUCGUCUCGUCGAGGUUUAACUCGGCGUUUGAGGUAUACUUGCGCGUGGUUUUAUUUUUAAUCUAUUUCACGGUAUUCGUUGAACGUUGAACAUCCAUUGGUCACACUUUGCUUAUUUAAGUGUUUUGUUCGAGUAAUGCUUUUUCUCUCUUUAUAGAAGUUUUUGCGUCUCUCCACGUGACCACUUAUCUGAAAGUGGGAUAACUUCUUCAUCCUAACUCCUAUGAGAGCAGAGAGAGAGAGAGCGUUAGAUUUGAGAGCAGUUAAAGAAAGAGAGUGAGAAACAUAGAUUGUUGAGAGAGAGAUAGAGAGAUGGCUAGUGGAAUCGCUCGUGGUCGUUUGGCGGAGGAGAGGAAAUCGUGGAGGAAGAAUCAUCCUCAUGUAUGUGUUUUCUUCUAUAUACUUUUCCAAUUUCAAAUUUUGAUCCUUGGGCAAGUGUUUAUUGGUCUCUGAUUGUGUUUAUUGAUGGUGAAGUUAGGGUUUUGUGGCGAAGCCGGAGACUGGGCCUGAUGGGUCUGUGAAUUUAAUGGUGUGGCAUUGCACUAUUCCUGGUAAAGCCGGUGUAAGUAUACAAUCAUUUAUCAAUUUAUCUUAUACCUCUGCUUAUGUGCGUCGGCUAAUUGUGAAAUUAGGGUUUAUGAAUUUUCUUAUGGGGAUUGUUUAUCAUUUGCUUUUAUGUCUUCAAAGCUUGGACCUUUCACUAGUUAAUGAUUCAUUUUUGAAUUUUACAGUUCCCCACCACCACCACCAUACUACUCGCCGUCACCUAAGGUAGAAUACAAAUCUCCACCACCACCAUAUGUUUACAAUUCUCCCCCACCACCAUACUACUCACCUUCUCCUAAGGUGUACUCCAAGUCUCCUCCACCACCGUAUGUUUACAGUUCUCCACCACCACCAUAUUACUCACCUUCCCCUAAGAUGUCCUACAAGUCUCCUCCACCACCAUAUGUUUACAGCUCCCCACCACCACCACCAUACUACUCACCUUCUCCUAAGGUUGAUGCUGCCAAAGAAUCGAUUCGUGAUUAUUUGGGCAACUAGAGAGGGCCGAAGAGUGUAGCUGGAGAAGUAACAUUCUUCCUCUUUUGUUUUCAUGUUUUGUCGGCUGAUGAAUGAAGCUGAAUUAUAUUUAUAGUAAUUCAUCUUUAUAAAAAUGCACCAUAUAGUUUGUGAUUUGAUCAAUUAAGCCCCCUUUAGUGAGGAAAUUGAUCUACUAACUGUGCUAUUCCCAAACUGGGAAACUAGAAUCACCUGAUUUGAAAGUGGGAUAAAUUCUUCAUCCCAACUCCUAUGAGAUUUAUUAAACUUCCUGGUGAUUCUCCACCACUUUAUGUAUCCAAAUCAAACUUUACACAAAGUGAUUCAUCCUGGUUUGAUUGGAACGAUGAAGAAGCUGUGCUAUUCCCAAACUUGAAAACUGGAAUCACCUGAUUUGAAAGUGGUAUAACUUCUUCUUGCCAACUCCUAUGAGAUUUAUUCAACUUCCUUGUGAUUCUCCACCACUUUAUGUAUCCAAAUCAAGCUUCUUACAAAGUGAUUCAUCCUGGUUUGAUUGGAACGACGAAGAAGCUGUGAUAUUCCCAAGCUGGGAAACUGGAAUCACCUGAUUUGAAAGUGGGAUAACUUCUUCAUGCCAACUCCUAUGAGAUUUAUUCAACUUCCUGGUGAUUCUCCACCACUUUAUGUAUCCAAAUGAAGGUUCUUACAAAAACUUGGCCUCACAUACUCUCUGAUUAAUCUCCGAUUUUUUUCUCACUCGCUAGGCGUGAACCGGCCGCUCGACUAGCACCUAGCGUAGUUCCGAACAUGGGUUUUUGCUAAUAACAAAAGAAAAAUGAAAAAAAGACGCAUAUUUCUUGUAUUACAAGCGGCUCUUUUGGACCCCAUGCAACGGCAGCUACAUACAUGUAUCAUUAUAUAUUAGCAUGAUCAUGAAAAUGAUAUAACAAUCACAUUGUGAGCUACUUACCUCUGCAAGUGAUGACCUUUCCUUGAGUCUCUACCAUGUUCUUGCUGUUCUUUUCGUUGUUGUUAUAUUAAAAUUGUCUUUCUAGGAGUGUAGCUCUAUAUAUAUAUCCAGAAUUUGGGAUCUAUAUGUCUAAUUAUAGUGAACAUGUUGAGUCACAUGUAUAGUAUCCAAACUGAGUCAAUAAUUCCGAAGUCGGGUUACGUAACAAAAGUACAAGGUAUUAAACCAAUAAGUACAGCAGAUUCUUGUUAUAACACGCACAUGUCGAUAUAUAUAAACAUAUGCAUAUAAUAAAAAUACAAAAACUUGGCCUCACAUACUCUAAACUUGGCCUCACAUACUCUCCGAUUAAUCUCCGAUUUGUUAUUCUUGAGUGGAAAUUAAAAAAAAACAAAGCAAAAGUGCUCAAUAACUUUACAAAAAAAAAAAGUCAACUGAUAUAAGAGCAUCAUUAUCGGUACAUAUGGUGAGGAGUUCCAAAAGAAAAAAAAUUAAUUAAUAUUUUAAAGACGAAGAUGCUUGUAAUUGCUGCAACAAGUAUAUAGAACGUUGCCAAUUUUUAACAUAGUCAGGAGUUAGCAGAUAGAAUGGGAAAGCUUUGAUGAGAGAUCAAAUUUGGUCUCUUUUCAAACAGCCAAAACAAAAAAGUUGACUACAAAUUCAACAUGCACACUCUUGUUGUUGUUUUCUUCAUUCACCAUUCUUCUUGUUUCACCUCCAUUGACAUAUUGUUCUUGAUCUUUUCCCCUAUGUUCUUUAGAGAGUUCUUUCUCAUUCUUCUUAUGUUUGGGUUUGAUUUUAUGGAUUUUCCUAUAAUAAACAGUUUCUUUGGACACUUUGAUUGUGGUAGAGGAAUAACUCAUUUAGGUCUAUAUAAAAGAACACCAAAAGUACUAAUUUUGUAUCACGGUCAGUUUCAAGAAAAUAAAAAUUAAAGAAACAAUGAAAGGUUACAUUAUUGCUCUUAUUGUAUGCGGUUGCUUCGCAAUAAUCGUGGUUGGUCUCAUCUUAUGGUGUCUUCAGAACCGCAAAAAGAAAAAAAGAUCGGCAAGGCGAAUCAAGUGUUACGCGGCGUAUGGAAACGUACGACACGGGAGGACACGUGGAUAAACUAGGAACAGAUUGUGUGAGCCCAUUCGAACGUUUCUUAGACGCAAAAGAGGCCCAAAUGAAGCCUAAAGGCGCAACCACUAAUCCCUACGUUGUUUUGUUUUAUUAAAAAUCGCUCAAUCCUAACUUUUUCGGUUAAAAUUGGGAUUUUGGAUUUUUUUAAAACCAUAAUCUCCCGUAAAAGUAUGACUGGUUUCGUUGUUAUCAUCGGCAAACGAACAAACGAUAAGUACCGAUCGUUGGCGUUUUGCUACAAUCACAAAAAAUGAUAUAUAUUGUUUUAAACCAUUUAAAUUCAAAAACUGGUCUGUGGUAGCAGAUGGUUGUCAGAAGAUAAAAUAAUUUUUUAAACUAUAUAAAUAGAAAAUAAAAAUAUUUAAUUAAAAUUGAAAUCAUUGUUUUUUGUCAUCUAAAAUUGAAAUAAUGGUAAUAAUAGAAACACUAAAUAUAUAUAUAUAUAUAAUAUUUUAAUUUAUAUUAUAAAACUUUAAAACAAAAAUAUCUUCUAUGUUUUUUUAAAAAAAAUAAUAGUAUAAUUUUAUAAAUAUAUUUUCUAUAUUUAUUAUAGUAAUAUUUUUUUUGAUAUUUUAUAAUUUUAUAAUAUAAAUAUUGUUACUUAUUAUUUAACCAUUGUUGCAUUUGGGAGUUAACCAGUCAUAAAUAUUUCGUAAAUGCAACAAUUUUUAACUGUCGUAUCCGUCGUACAAAUCUCUUAAUAAUGCUUAAAAUCACAACCAUCCGCAUCCGCAAACACCCGCAACCGCUACGGUUACACUAUCCAGGCCCUAAGUAAAGAUUGGUUAUUUAUAUUUCAGUGAUACUUAUAGCUUUAAAUCCAUUCAUUUGAUAAUUCAAAGAAAUAAAUAUUAUAAUCAAGCAUGGGUUUUCAUUGUUGUACUGAUAUGAAAAGGGAAACUCUAAUAAGAUUUUUGUAUUAACUGGCAGUUCAGAAAUCCCAAAACUUCUUGGUUCAAAAAUAGAAAUAUAUUUUUUCAACAUGUAAAAUUCUUUUUAACAAAGAAAAUAUUCACGCUUAGUUAAGAUCCACAAAAUAAACCAAAUAAUUGAAGUCUGGUGGCAAGGGCUAAUUCGGGGCAUGACGUAAAUUCAUCUGUUUUGAAUUUGAUUCCAACUGAGAACAAAGUUGUUCUUAUUUCAUCAGUUUGGGUUUGUCUUUCGGUCCAAAUAGUUUCUACGGUAAUACAGUAAUAAACGAUUAAAACGAUUUGGUUAUUCUCUGGUAUUAAUUGAAAAAUAUUUCAAAUAGUGGAGGUAAUUGUAAUCAACUAUUUCUAGAACCUACCGGAUCACUUGAUAGGACAUAUAAAAUUACAGAAAAUAAAAUAACAAUGGAGGAAGAAAGUUGAGGCUUGAUUGUGAUAGGAGUCACGGUAAUCUUACGGUCAGUGGGUACGUAGCAUCUCCAAAAAAGUUUCCCUGUUUGGGAAUAUGACAACUUCUUUGUCAUUCUAAUCAAACCAGGAAGAAUCGCGAUGUAAGAACCUUCAUUUGGAUACAUAAGGUAGUGUAGAAUCACCAGGAAGUUGAAUAAAUCUAAUAGGAGUUAGGAUGAAGAAGUUAUCCCACUUUCAGAUAAGGUGAUCCCAGUUUCCCUGUUUGGGAAUAUGACAACUUCUUCGUCAUUCUAAUCAAAACAGGAAGAAUCACGAUGUAAGAACCUUCAUUUGGAUACAUAAAGUAGUGGAGAAUCACCAGGAAGUUGAAUAAAUCUCAUAGGAGUUAAGAUGAAGAAGUUAUCCCACUUUCAAAUAUAGUGAUCUCAGUUUCCNNNNNNNNNNNNNNNNNNNNNNNNNNNNNNNNNNNNNNNNNNNNNNNNNNNNNNNNNNNNNNNNNNNNNNNNNNNNNNNNNNNNNNNNNNNNNNNNNNNNNNNNNNNNNNNNNNNNNNNNNNNNNNNNNNNNNNNNNNNNNNNNNNNNNNNNNNNNNNNNNNNNNNNNNNNNNNNNNNNNNNNNNNNNNNNNNNNNNNNNNNUCCAAAUCAAGCUUCUUACAAAGUCCUUCAUCGUGGUUUGAUUGGAACGACGAAGAAGCUGUCCUAUUCCCAAAUUGGGAAACUGGAAUCACCUGAUUUGAAAGUGUGAUAACUUUUUCAUCCCAACUCCUACGAGAUUUAUUCAACUUCCUGGUGAAUCCCACCACUUUGUCUAUCCAAAUCAAGCUUCUUACAAAGUGAUUCAUCUUGUUUUGAUUGGAACGACGGAGAAGCUGUCCUAUUCCCAGACUGGGAAACUGGAAUCACCUGAUUUGAAAGUGGGAUAACUUCUUUAUCCCAACUCCUAUGAGAUUUAUUCAACUUCCUGGUGAAUCCCACCACUUUGUCUAUCCAAAUAAAGCUUCUUACAAAGUGAUUCAUCCUGUUUUGAUUGGAACGACGGAGAAACUGUCCUAUUCCCAGACUGGGAAGCUGGAAUCACCUGAUUUGAAAGUAGGAUAACUUCUUCAUUCCAAUUCCUAUGAGAUUUGUUCAAUUUCCUGGUGAUUCUCCACCACUUUAUCUAUCCAAAUCAAGCUUUUUAUAAAGUGAUUCAUCCUGGUUUGAUUGGAACGACGAAGAAGCUGUCCUAUUCCCAAACUGGAAAGCUGGAAUCACCUGGUUUGAAAGUGGGAUAACUUUUUCAUCCCAACUCCUAUGAGAUUUUUUCAACUUCCUGGCGAUUCUCCACCACUUUAUCUAUCUAAAUCAAGCUUCUUCUAAAGUGAUUCAUUCUGUUUUGAUUGGAACGACGGAGAAGUUGUCCUAUUCCCAGACUGGGAAACUGGAAUCACCUGAUUUGAAACUGGGAUAACUUCUUCAUCCCAACUCCUAUGAGAUUUGUUCAAUUUCCUGGUAAUUCUCCACCACUUUAUGUAUCCAAAUUAAGCUUCUUAUAAACUGAUUCAAACUGGUUUGAUUGGAACGACAAAGAAGCUGUCAUAUUCCCAAACUGCGAAACUAGAAUCUCCUGAUUUGAAACUGGAAUAACUUCUUCAUCCCAACUCCUAUGAGACUUAUUCAACUUCCUGGUGAUUCUCCACCACUUUAUGUAUCCAAAUCAAGCUUCUUACAAAGUCAUUCAUCAGGGUUUGAUUGGAACGACGAAGAAUCUGUCCUAUUCCCAAAUUGGGAAACUGGAAUCACCUGAUUUGAAAGUGUGAUAACUUUUUCAUCCC